UGGGGAAUAUUGGACAAUGGGCGAAAGCCUGAUCCAGCCAUGCCGCGUGUGUGAAGAAGGUCUUCGGAUUGUAAAGCACUUUAAGUUGGGAGGAAGGGCAGUAAGCGAAUACCUUGCUGUUUUGACGUUACCGACAGAAUAAGCACCGGCUAACUCUGUGCCAGCAGCCGCGGUAAUACAGAGGGUGCAAGCGUUAAUCGGAAUUACUGGGCGUAAAGCGCGCGUAGGUGGUUCGUUAAGUUGAAUGUGAAAGCCCCGGGCUCAACCUGGGAACUGCAUCAAAAACUGGCGAGCUAGAGUAGGGCAGAGGGUGGUGGAAUUUCCUGUGUAGCGGUGAAAUGCGUAGAUAUAGGAAGGAACACCAGUGGCGAAAGCGACCACCUGGGCUCAUACUGACACUGAGGUGCGAAAGCGUGGGGAGCAAACAGG
RNAcentral lists this ribosomal RNA (429 nucleotides) under Pseudomonadota bacterium. Its description in RNAcentral is "Proteobacteria bacterium partial 16S ribosomal RNA". It matches the Rfam family "Bacterial small subunit ribosomal RNA", at positions 355 to 776 of the family's 1533-position model. The record is from RNAcentral. Lineage: Bacteria; Pseudomonadati; Pseudomonadota.